This 446-nucleotide ribosomal RNA is filed under the name uncultured bacterium. Its description in RNAcentral is "partial 16S ribosomal RNA". It matches the Rfam family "Bacterial small subunit ribosomal RNA", at positions 338 to 795 of the family's 1533-position model. The record is from RNAcentral.
CCUACGGGAGGCAGCAGUCGAGAAUCAUUCACAAUGGGGGAAACCCUGAUGGUGCGACGCCGCGUGGGGGAAUGAAGGUCUUCGGAUUGUAAACCCCUGUCAUGUGGGAGCAAAUUAAAAAGAUAGUACCACAAAAGGAAGAGACGGCUAACUCUGUGCCAGCAGCCGCGGUAAUACAGAGGUCUCAAGCGUUUUUCGGAAUCACUGGGCGUAACGCGUGCGUAGGCUGUUUCGUAAGUCGUGUGUGAAAGGCGCGGGCUCAACCCGCGGACGGCACAUGAUACUGCGAGACUAGAGUAAUGGAGGGGGAACCGGAAUUCUCGGUGUAGCAGUGAAAUGCGUAGAUAUCGAGAGGAACACUCGUGGCGAAGGCGGGUUCCUGGACAUUAACUGACGCUGAGGCACGAAGGCCAGGGGAGCGAAAGGGAUUAGAUACCCCGGUAGUC